This 2003-nucleotide long non-coding RNA is filed under the name Sus scrofa (pig). Its description in RNAcentral is "lncRNA (ENSSSCG00035000691.1)". Lineage: Eukaryota; Metazoa; Chordata; Mammalia; Artiodactyla; Suidae. The record is from RNAcentral.
GGGGAGCUUAGAGCCCAAAGGAGCCUUGAAGGCCAUUCAAUUCAGCCCCUAAGGAAGAGCCAGCGUGGGGAGGGGAGCAAGAGGCCCGUGUGGGGCGUCUGGCUAGUCUGGAGAGGGGAACGGGCUGCCAGAGAAGUGGAACAGAGCCACAGACGAGCGUUGUUGUCAUUCAUCUGUGACCAGGGCUGUGACUGCUCCCCUCCUCCCAGGCCCCGAGCUAAGGAGACCCCAGGCGUGGCAGUGGCUGGACACAGGCAUGCAGUGCUGGGGUUGCAGGCAGAGAGGGCUGCUUCUUCCAGGACCCUGCAGAUUCCUCUGGGGUCAUCCCCAGUGCCCUGCUGGCGGCCUCACUCUGUGUGGCAGUCGUGUGGAUGGCUGUGGCCCUUGUUCUAGUAGUUGGAGCCAAGUCACCUGGGCAGUUGGAGGCAGGGGCCCAGACGGAACCCAAGGACCCACCCCCAUUCCAGCGCAGCACAGGCGUCUCUCAGGGGAUUGGCUGGGAGUUUAGGAGGGUUGGGAGAGGUGCCUAAGGGUCCUUCCCGGGUGGUCCCAUCCCAGCCUGGCCCUGCUUGUCAUUUCUGGUUAGGGACCUGCAUAGGGUGGGGGCUCAGGGUCCCCUCUAGCUCUAGGCUGGCCUGAGUGUCAAGGUCUGCCUGGCCGGCUUCCCAGGCCAGGAUUUCUGGGCCCCGACCCCAGGCCCCAGCCCAGGGGAAGCCCUGAGGUGGAUUCCGGAGGCACAGAAUUCCUGGCUGAUGUUGGGGUGGUUCUGACAAAGUGCCUGCCUUUGGGGGCAACUCCUGCCACCAGAAGAGAGAAGAGUGUAGAUAAUGGCAAGGAGAAGAGGGUGGGGUUCAGAGCAGGCUGGGGCGGGGGGCAGGGGCAGGCAGAGCCAGAGAGGAGAGAAGAGAUGGGCCCUCCCAGAGAGGCGCGGGGAGGCUCCCUCCAGAAGGGAAACGAAAAAUCUGAGCCAGGAGGCUUCAGAGAGCAGGUUCCCAGGCUAGGGGUCCUAUCAGAGCUGUAGCCGCCGGCCUACACCACAGCAACUCGGGAUCCGAGCCGCGUCUGCGGCCUACACCACAGCUCACGGCAACGCCGGAUCCUUAACCCACUGAGCAAGGCCAGGGAUUGAACCCGCAACCUCAUGAUUCCUUGUCGGAUUCGUUAACCACUGCGCCACGACGGGAACUCCUCCGGUGGAUGUUCUUAAAGAGCCUUUGGGGGAUUCGCAGCGCCAGAGCUGACUGUGGGGAGGAGGGGCACCAAAAUAGCCCCAAGAGGAGGUCAAUCUUGGCAUACAGUAAGUGCAACAUCAAUGUGGCCUUUCCUAUCGUUCUUACCCCACAGGGAGGAAACCUCGUCAGGCUGGCUGAAUCAGGUGCCUGAAAAAGGGCUUUGACCCAGUGAGCCCCACCUGAAAAAUGCCAUUAGCGUCAGCCCACCCCUGGCCCAGGGUUCCUCCACGUGACCUUGAUGGUUUCCGGAGCUUUCAUCACUCCUGGGUAUCCGGAGGUUUCGGAACUAGGCUCCAGGCCACCCUCCAAGACCUUCUGGAGCAGAUUUCCUCUGAAGAGAGUGUUCGACCAAGAGGGGAGGGCCACCUGGGGUGACUUCCUCCAGGCCCUUGGCCUGCCAAGGCAGAGGCCCUAAGAAGUGGCCCAGGAACAGCACAGCUCCUCCCUUCCCAUCCCGACCCCUGACCUGCCCCAGCUGAGAAAAAGCUGUGGCUUGAGAUUUACAACUAGGAGGGGUAUGCGGAUCUGUUUUGCAUUCUUGGAGCUGGGUCACGGCAGAAAUGCAGGAAUUUGGGAAGUAAGCCACCCGGAUGCCCAGUGCUGCCUUUGGCUGGCAUAGAAAAAGUUUGAUCUGUUUCGGUCUCUCAGAAAGUCCUGAGCCUGAGCCCCCACUGCAGGUGAAGCUUGAGGAGGGGCCUCCAUUGGCUGGCUGCAGCUCUGGUAAUUCUGCUCCCAAUCCACAGAGGGAAAAAAAAAAAAAAAGAAAAAAAA